CGCGUAGGUGGUUUGUUAAGUUGGAUGUGAAAGCCCCGGGCUCAACCUGGGAACUGCAUCCAAAACUGGCAAGCUAGAGUACGGUAGAGGGUGGUGGAAUUUCCUGUGUAGCGGUGAAAUGCGUAGAGAUCGGAAGGAACACCAGUGGCGAAGGCGGCUACCUGGACAGAUACUGACACUGAGGCGCGAGAGCGUGGGGAGCAAACA
Molecule: ribosomal RNA, 207 nt
Filed under: uncultured bacterium
Lineage: Bacteria
Description: partial 16S ribosomal RNA
Rfam family: Bacterial small subunit ribosomal RNA
Source: RNAcentral